CCCAGGUCUGCCUAUCAAGCAGGUGUUCCAUGAGCUGAGCCAGCAGACCCACGGCAUCACCCGGCUGGGCCCCUACUCUCUGGACAAAGACAGCCUCUACCUUAACGGUUACAACGAACCUGGUCCAGAUGAGCCUCCUACAACUCCCAAGCCAGCCACCAUAUUCCUGCCUCCUCUGUCAGAAGCCACAACAGGUAUCUGGGGUCCAUUUUUCCUCCUCAAAGAUUAGACUGGCAGUUCAAUCAGACACCUGCCCUCGUGGAGC
This 265-nucleotide long non-coding RNA is filed under the name Rhinopithecus roxellana (golden snub-nosed monkey). RNAcentral's name for it is "lncRNA (ENSRROG00000045910.1)". Lineage: Eukaryota; Metazoa; Chordata; Mammalia; Primates; Cercopithecidae. The record is from RNAcentral.